AUCACUUUCCAUAUCUCCCUCUCAAAUUAUUAUUCCAUCAGCAUCCGAUUCUCUCCUUCAAAACCCCCCAGAAAGGAUUUUCCCUUUCUUGGUUUUCGAGCUUACUGCUCUGAACCUCACCAAUGGCGACCUCCACUUCUUCCCAGGCUCCAGUAACUCCUCGGCUCCAUCGCUUCGAGCUCGUCGAAGGGAUGCAACUUCAGAUUAAUGUCUCUGGGUCUUGUAAAGGACGCAAUGUUAGACUUGAAUUUCAACUUAGCAAAUCCAGCAGCGCUUGGAUUCUUCACUGGGGUUGUGUUUUCCCUGCAAACAUGUAAUACCAAAACCCCCCAAAUUUUUUCUUUUUUGAUUUUUGUUUUUAAUAUCUAGGUGUGUGUGUGUGUAUGGUUUUUGAUUACUAUGUACAGGAACUGGUAUAUUCCCAAUUCGGGUACGUAUACUUUCAAGCAAGGUUCAUUGCAGACUCCAUUCACCAAGGUCUUUUCAAAACCCCAUUUUCCUAUAUAUGAAUAUAUUCUCUCCACAUAUUCCUCUGCUUUAUUAAGUUUCAAUUUUUUUGGACUUGUGGUAAAUUUUAGUUCAGUUCAAUUAGUAGUCUUAGUAUGUUUAAUAUACUAUUCUGCAAUGUAAAUUGAAUAUCAUUGACAAAGUGGUUGUCUUUGACCGGUCUUACUCUUUUUUGUACAUUAUGUGCAUGGGUAGAGAAUUGACCCAACUGUAAGAACUAAGAUCAAAGAAUAAGAAAUCCUGAAAAGAAUGAUCAUUAUGUUAUAACAGCCAUUUUCAAACUGUUAGUGGAUCCUCUCCUCUGUUUCUUCUCUGAGUUGCAGAAAGGAGAAUUAUAUUUGUUAACCAUUGAGUUGCGGGACCCCAAUAUACAUGCUAUUGAAUUUGUUGUAAAAGAUGGCAGUCGAGAUAGAUGGUUUGGAUUCUUUCUCUCAUGGGCACUUUGAUAUUUAAUUUAUAGAGCUGACCUUAAAGCAGUUUUUGGUUUAUAUAUCUGUGUUAGGUUGAAACUAAAUCAUGGAAAUUUUUGAGUAGAAAUUCCUGAGAGUGAUCCAACUUCUUUAAAGCCCUCUGUACCGAAAGAGCUGAUUGAACGCAAGGCAUUUUUAGUUUAGGAAAGCAAAGGCAGACCCAUGAGCUCGCCACAACAACAAAAGCAAGACUAUGAGGGUGCUUUGAUAGAGAGACAAAAUCAGCUAUCGAAAGGAAUAUCCUUGAAUGAGUUGCACAGUAGUUUUUCAACUUCCAAUACCAAGAAAGUGGUUGGUUAUAGAGAGCAGCUAAGGAGUGAAAUGACAUACUCUUACAAAAGGAAACAUAACGUUCAGCAGUGGUUGCAAAAGCAUACCACAGGACCUGCCAAAAACACAAUCUCAAGUUCAGCUCUCGUGGAUCUUGUUGACAAAUCUAUGGGAGGAGAUGAUGUAGUCUCACGGAGAAGUUAUCAUGUUGGCAACUAUGAAGUAGUGUGAAAUUAGUGAAGCUCAAGAUAGGUUUACCAGUCUACUACAGAGAGUAUAUUUAAACCAGCCAAAGGAUCGGGAUGUAGUGAGACUACUAAUGGCACAUGUUGGUCGCGGGGGUCAGGGAGAUGUUGGACAGAAGAUUUGUGAUGAAAUACUUGUAAUUCAGAGAAACAAUGACUGCAAGAAUGGCAUGAUGGAGGAAUGGCACCAAAAGUUGCAAUAGUAGUAGCCCAGAUGAUGUGAUAAUUUGUGAGGCUGUUCAUUCAGGUGUUGACCUUGAAUCUGCUAUUGAAGUUUUGGUUCCCUCAAAUAGGGAUCAUGAUUUCACAAGCACCGUUUGUGAUUUGUCCCCUAGACUGCAGGAGUGCCUGAACUUUGUCAAAGCACGUCAUGGUGAUGAAGAUAUUGUUCCACUAAAGGAGGUCAUACUGUCUUACAAACCUUUAACUUUUCAAGUCUCUCUCUAUUAAGGAAUCAUUGUGAAGUUUAAAAUCAUGUUCCAGAAGUUAUUAGAGCUUCGCUCUCUUCUGAUCACCUCCAUUAGAAGAUUAAAAGAUAUGCUGUUCCUGAUAUUGCUUUGGCUUCAGCUGUCAAAACAACUAUGGAAAGGGGACUCACAGAUCUACAUUUUUCUAACCCACAUGAAAUUAUGUUCUUCAUUUCCUUGUUGCUCGAAAAUUUAUGCCUGUCAACAGUUAACAAUGAAGAUCUCAUUUACUGCACCAAGGUGGAUCUCUCGGUGAGCAUGAAUGCUGUCAUGCUGACCUCUUCUCGUGUAUCAUUUGGGGAACUUCUAGUUUAUGGUUUUGGACUGGUACCGUAUUAGUGAACUGUAUAUGAACCCAAUAAUGGUCAGUGGGCAUCACAAUCAAAGGCUAUUCUUGAUCGCUUACAAUUAGUACUUGCUGAUAGGUCUCAGUGCUACCAGAAGAUGAUCCAGCCCAGUGCAAAAUAUCUUGGUAAUUUGCUUGGUGUUCAGAAGCCAGCGGUAUGUUGUUGUUGCCUGACUUUUGCAUCUAUAGUAGACAACGAGUGAGGCUUCUUUUUUAUGUCUUCUCCCUAAUAUCAGAUUGAUACUUUAAUUUUCUGAGUUAAUAAGGGCUGGAUCAGAGACUAUUCUGUCUACUCUAUCAAUCGUUUUGACUCCAUUCUGAGAGAAGCGGCUAACUUAAGCCGUUGGCAGGUUGUCAGCCCAGUUGAAGUGCAGGGUUUUAUAACUUCGGUUAAUGAGCUAAUUGAAAGUCUAUAAAAAGCCAACCAUUCUAAUUGCAACUAGAGUAACUGGGGAAGAGGAGAUUCCAGAUGGAGUAGUUGCUGUCCUGACACCUGAUUCGCCAGAUGUUCUAUCUCAUGUCUCUAUAAGAGCAAGAAAUAGCAAGGUAUGCUUUGCCACCUGCUUUGAUACGAAUAUUCUCAGGGAUCUCAGGUUGAAAGAAGGCAAACCAAUGUCAAUAGAAGUAAAGUUGGCAAAUAUUAUUAUCAGGUUGGUCACUGGAGUGUUGUUUCUUUGGUA
Long non-coding RNA from Rosa rugosa (rugosa rose), 2985 nucleotides. RefSeq lists it as uncharacterized. The record is from RefSeq and is a predicted model, not a curated record. The transcript has 12 exons. Lineage: Eukaryota; Viridiplantae; Streptophyta; Magnoliopsida; Rosales; Rosaceae.